This is a long non-coding RNA of Ziziphus jujuba (common jujube), 1175 nucleotides long. RefSeq lists it as uncharacterized. NCBI's taxonomy places the organism in Eukaryota, Viridiplantae, Streptophyta, Magnoliopsida, Rosales, Rhamnaceae. The transcript is spliced from 3 exons. The record is from RefSeq and is a predicted model, not a curated record.
UGCAGGUUUUAGAAAUAGACCGAGAGUGAGCUGUUCUUGCUGUAAGAAUAGAGGGUAUGUGAAAUGCUUGUAUUCUUCUCUUGAUAAUGAAAUCUAAAUUCUCUUUCGCUGGCCCGUGGAUGUAGGUUGUUUGUAACGGAACCACGUAAAAUACUUGUGUUCUUUGUCUUUCUCAUCUGUUUUUCUGGUAUGCUUGCAUCUAUUUUCUGAUAUAUCUGAUGGUAUAAGCUGCGGCUUUUUUCUUUGAUGGUGUGGUGGUUGUUGGUCUUGAUCUGUUGGCUGUAACAUUGGGGUCUCAGAUUAGAUAUCUGAUCAGUUUUUCAUCGUCAUAGAUACAGUUGCUUUCACUUGCUGUAGAGCUGAUUGGCAAAUCUAUAACGUGGGUGUUGCUGCUUCGUCAUUUAAGAAACUGAAAGUCAGCUUCGAAAAGUGUCAGAUAGUCUAGAAUUUUUCUCCACUCAAGCAGUGUCGAGGGCAUUAAUUUGCAGGAUGCUUGCAGAUCCUGAUUCUUUACAUAAGCUUCUCUUAGAGCAGGCUGCUACAAUUGGUUGCUCAGUUUGGUCGGAGUUUAUGAAUAGGAAGGAAAGGACAAAGAAAGAAUGGAAUCUGGCAUUUGUAAAUGUGCUCACUGUUGCAGCAUGCAACGCUAUUGCUGUUUGGUCCGUUGCUCCUUGUCAUUCAUAUGGAAACACAUUCCGGUUUGAUUUGCAAACUACAUUGUAGAAGCUCCCAAAAAACAAAUUUCAAAGAAGUUAUCCACUGAGGAUAUAUGAUCUACAAAAGAGAAUACACUCCUUCUAUAGCGCCCCAGAGUUGCGUAUGGUUGGGCUAACUGCUGAAGCAGUGCAAGGUUCUUUAUCAAAUUAUCUGGCCAGUAUGGAGGGAAGGUAUGAAGCAAAAGAAAACCUACUUAAACUGUUUCUUUUGAGGGAAUCAAUUAAAACUAAAUAGUACUGAUUAGAGUUUAUCAACAAGAAUGAAGGAAACCAUUUGACUUAUUUGAAAGAUCAAAUAACAAAAGUUUAAUAUUCAAAAAUCAAAGAAUCUAUGAUAUCACAUUGUACCAUUAUUUUUACAAGAAUAUAAUUAUACAUAUUUUUCGAUAUUCGUGCAUCAGUUAUGAUUUUUUUUUUUUUUAAAGGAAUAAUUUAAAUGACUCCAAAAUAGCUUUUUGG